Tetranychus urticae (two-spotted spider mite) is the source of this 1179-nucleotide non-coding RNA. The record is from RefSeq and is a predicted model, not a curated record. NCBI's taxonomy places the organism in Eukaryota, Metazoa, Arthropoda, Arachnida, Trombidiformes, Tetranychidae.
AUUUGUUUCAAUGUUUUCUGGUUGUGUUGAUUGAGCAGAUUUCAUCAGUAAAUAUCAUCAUUGAUGCUCUCCAUCCAAUGCCUCCAAGUACUUUGCAUCGAUUACUCAAAAUUUGGCAGCGAAUUCUAUGGAAAUUAUUCUUUUAAAAUGCUUUGGACAAAGACUGACUCUUAUGGAUAAAGAUAAAAUGAUUGAAUUGGGAACAGUCCUGAUAAUGAAGACGGAUUCAAUUGCUAAAGAUGAUUCAACUCUGAUAGAGAUUGACUUUCAAAGCUUAACUGGAUAACUUGGUUCACCUCUACCUUUACGUUAUUUACAACAAGAUUUUGAUUUGAAACCAGCUAAAUUCAAGAGCUGAAGCUUUUCAUGAAGAUGACCCAAGCUUACCAAAUGCUUCUCGAAAGGAGAGAAUGGACUGGAAUGUUCAACAUUUUACCAAAUUUAUUUGAUGCAAGUGGUUCAAACUACGGACAACUGACUGUUGGUUACACUUUUUGGAGUAAAUCAAGAAGCAAUUGGUUGGAUUAGAGUCUCAGUUUAGUUUAUGUUAACCAAAGAGCAUUUGAGGUUAACCUGGAACUGCAAAUCUAUCAAUACUUUGGACAAAAAACUUGCAACUAUGAGAGAUCUCUAUUGACUCAAUACUGCCAAAAUAGAGGGAAAAUGAAAAUUUGAGUUUCGACAAAUGGACCAAAUCAAUUAUGAUACUUAUCGAGUGACUGUGAUUCUUAAUUGAUGUUUCACUCGCAACGGAUUUUCACUAUCAAAUUACAGAUUCUCAGAUUGUUUCUUGUUUCCCAUUUUCAACUGUUAAGGAUAAUUGAAACAAUAUUGGUUGUUUGAUAAACUGUGGCAACAAUUUAACCUCAUUAAGAUCCAUUUAUGAGAGUUUCAUGUUCAACAGAUGGACUUGAUUCAGUUAGGUUGAUUCAAUCAACUAGUCAACUAAAUACUAAACCAUGUAAAGUUAAUUGUGUUUACGGAAACACUAAACUUACUUGUUAAGAGGAUUGCACAAAAAAAUGGCAAAUUUUACCCUUAAUUAUAAUCCAUUUAAGCAAAUUGAUGAAAAAUGAUUGAAAAUGAUGGAAAGAGUUGUAAUUGUUACUCGUAAUGAAUAAUAGAAAAGGAAAAGGAUUCCAUGUUUUCCUGAAUCCAAUUAAACAAUCAAUUCCCUGA